GGGAACAGGUUGGUUUGACUCAGAACCACAGCAGCUGGAGGUGGAGCAGAUGAUGGAGUUCUGGUUCCAGUAGAACCGGGUCGACUGGACCAUCAGGAGAAAAACAUCCUUGGAUAUCUCUGCUCCGGCAAAAUGGUCCAACUUCUUCCUAAGGAGGUCAAAGUUCUGCAGAAGUUCUGUUAAUGAACCUUCAUUUCAUUCAGGAGAACUGAACCAAGGAAAGAGCUAAAACGUUCAGGAUACCGGAUCAGAACUUCAAGAGUUCAGACGUCUGCAGGCCGGCCGGCCCGACACACGCAGGAGAAAAACCAACCGUUCUCUGGAGAAAGAAGAUGAUCCGCAAUGCAACACGAAUAACGAGCGCAGAGGGGAAAAUUAAGACCAGGACGGAUUUUUAUUCCGGCGUCUCAUGAAGAGACACGAGGAUCCAGAUGUUUGAUGAUAAGUCCAUCAUCAGGCCGUUUUGUUGCUGGUUUGAAUCAGAUAAAACCUUCAUGUUCCAGUUUGGUUUCAGUCCUGGAAACUUGGGGGAGCAGAACAGAACCGGCUGUAGGAUGAGCUGCAGCGGCUCACUCACUGAAACAUCAGGACAUUAGAGACACAUUUUAUUCUCUUUGUUUGAAGCUAUUUACAGAGUUUACAUGUAAAACCUCCAGAUUUUAGGCCUUCAGGUCAAAUAUGAUAAAAACACUGAAAAACCAGAAUUUAGUAGAAACUAGUUAUGUUUACUUGAGCAACUUCUUGGAAAAUAUGUACUUUUGUUUUUACUGUUACGUACUUUAGCUGAUUUUAUCAUGAAGUAUUGCUACUCUUGAGUAAAAUACCCACCAAAUAUUUACCAAACUCAGACACACAGCUGCAGGUUUUGUAUUUCUAUGUUUUGUUUAGAAAUAAAUUGUUCUUUUGCUUGUUGUUGUUUUUUCAUCACGUUUUGGAUAUAAAUUAUCUUCAUUUUGCUCUUAAAAUACCAAAGUUUCCAGUUAAUUUUAGAUUUGGUCCAUGUGAUGAUGAUGUUCUUGGGUAACUCCACCUUUUCCCCAGUUAACUUACUUUUGUCAUAUUUUCACUGUAAAAACUCUAACAAUGAUUUUUUUUUCAGCAUCUGGUCCAGACAGAACCGGCUCCGUUGAAGAAACAUCAAACUGAAACUGAAGUUCUGCUUUUUCAGAUGAUUUUUCACAGAAAUGAAGAAACUUUCAUCAGAUGAGGAGUUAAAUUUACCUGGGAAGUUUCUGUUGUUGAAAAGCAAAGUCGGGCAGAAACUUUGAUUUGGUGGAACUUCAGCUCAUUAAAGAGACAAAAUUAUGCAGAAGAUUUAUGCCAAGACAUUUCUGGAGUUUCAACUAUGUAAUAAUUCAUAUUUAAAAAAAAAAAAGGCUCAACGUU
Molecule: long non-coding RNA, 1386 nt
Organism: Xiphophorus couchianus (Monterrey platyfish)
Lineage: Eukaryota; Metazoa; Chordata; Actinopteri; Cyprinodontiformes; Poeciliidae
Exons: 2
Source: RefSeq, a predicted model, not a curated record